Molecule: non-coding RNA, 71 nt
Organism: Podarcis lilfordi (Lilford's wall lizard)
Lineage: Eukaryota; Metazoa; Chordata; Lepidosauria; Squamata; Lacertidae
Source: the annotation of a GenBank genome assembly
GGGGGAGAGCUCAGCGGUAGAACACCUGCUUUGCAUGCAGAAAGUCCCAGGUUCGAUCCCCAGCUUCUCCA